CGAGCCCCCCUCCCCGGCAGCCUCCUCGCGGGUGCGGCCGACCGACACCGCACGCCUGACGGCCGCCGCCAGCCGUGCCGCAUGUCCUCGCGCCCAACGGCCGCGGCCAGCUGCGCCACCCGUCCUCGCGCCCGCUGCCAGCCACGCCGCCCGUCCUCGCGACCGCAUCCGGCCUCCUUGCAGCACGACGCGGCCGGCACUACGCGCCCAAGGGCCACCGCCAGACGCGCCCCCUCCUCGCGGUCUUGCCUUCCGUCGUCACGCCCACGGCCGGCCUCCUCACGCUCACGUCCGCGGCCGCCAGCACACGCCUGAGGCCACCGCGAACCGCGUUGAUCGGAGCCACCACGUCUUCCUUGACGCGCUACUGCACGUCAACGCCGGAGCUGAGCCCGUGACGCCUUCUGCAGCGACCCUAGGAGCAUCCUGCCACGCCGAAGCUGAGGCUGUGACGCCUUCUGCCUCCACCUCGCGCUUCUGACGCCGUCUUCAAUUAGACUGAGAACCAAACAGUGGAAGAUCAUGAAUUCAGAAUAGAGGCGGUUCAAGACCAUGGGGAGAAACACAACAAUUGCUGGAACAUAAAUUUGGUCCAGAGAAGGCUGGCACUUUAAACACAUAUGCUGUGAUGAAAUCUGGAUUAAAAAAUGUACAUAGCAGUGGAAAAAGUGCUCCAAUCCCCAGCCGAAAAGCAUAAAAGCGCUUGGAUGACUAUAAUGCAAGAGCAAUGCUUGCUGAGAAUUCAAAGGAAUUAGAUGCACACACGCACUGUAUUACAUGGAAGGUGGUUUGGCCCAUGGUCGUGUACCAAUAGCCGAUGGUGCUGUGGAUAAGGAAAAUGUUAUAGUAGUUGCAAAAUCCAAUAAUCUACGUCCUACCAAUACUGCUUCUUAUCGAACCGUGGUAGAUAAAAAUGACCAGUUGAAGGAGAUGAAUGAGGAGUUGAGGGAGACGAAUCGAGAUCUGAAGCGAAACAAUGACCAAAUGACCAAUUGAAGGAGAAAAAUAAGAUACUCACUGAGGAAAACAGUGUUAACCGUGAGCUGAUUAUGGCUACCGCAUCAUCACAUGCUGGCACUAACCUGGAUGGUAUGCACAGCAAUGGUAAUGACAUGAAUAGUGAUGAAGACCAUGACUGCAUUAUGGAUGAUGAAGAUGGCUGUGAUGAUGAUGAUUACUUGGAUGACAUAGAUGAAGAUGAUAGCUAUGAUAACAAUGGUGACAACGAAGAGGAGGUCGGCAAUUGAUGGAAUGGACAGGAAUGAAACCAGCACGACUCCUAACUUUUGGGCUCUUUUGGUUCUGUGCAUGGCUACUUUUGGUAACUGGUGCCUUUGGUUCAUACCAAACCUUUUGGAGUUGUGGUACUUACAAUUAAACUAUGUCAUGACAUGUAUUAUAUGGCAGCCUUUAUGCCUAUGUUGUGCCUUUUUUAUGAUGGCUAGAACUUGCUAUAAAUGUAAGGCAUUAUCGCCUUACUACACUAGUCAAAUAAUUGGGACUCGUCUUAUGUGUGCUGGUUUGAAAUGUUGGUGUGAGCUGUUGAUCGUA
Molecule: long non-coding RNA, 1551 nt
Organism: Panicum hallii
Lineage: Eukaryota; Viridiplantae; Streptophyta; Magnoliopsida; Poales; Poaceae
Exons: 5
Source: RefSeq, a predicted model, not a curated record